This 116-nucleotide ribosomal RNA is filed under the name Candidatus Doudnaibacteriota bacterium. The record is from RNAcentral. Lineage: Bacteria; Candidatus Doudnaibacteriota.
AAGGGUGGCAUUUCCAGCCGGGCUCGACCUGAUCCCAUCCCGAACUCAGUAGUCAAAACGGCUUGGGCCAAUGAUAGUCCUACGCAUGUAGGUGCAAAAGUAGGUGGCUGCCCCAU